AUGUUAUGUUGGGAAAAAAUCCAUUUUGAAGUGUGCGAAAUUAGUGAAUUUUGAGUUUAAAGUGUAAGGUGCAAAACAUGCAAAGGUGAGGUUUCCAAAUUUGGCCAAUGUUCAAGCCCCUCUAUUUUGAUGAUGCAAGCCUCAAAUGAAAAAACCUCCAACAUCAAAGUUGUAGAUCUUUUCAAGACAAUUAAAAUGGACUGAACCUUUGCAUCAUUUGGAUUUUUGAUGAAAGAGUUAUGGGCACUUGAAG
This 253-nucleotide long non-coding RNA is filed under the name Lathyrus oleraceus (garden pea). RNAcentral's name for it is "Pisum sativum (pea) long non-coding RNA (PSAT_LNC015689)". Lineage: Eukaryota; Viridiplantae; Streptophyta; Magnoliopsida; Fabales; Fabaceae. The record is from RNAcentral.